AUUUUUGGAUAAUCGCGUGAUAGCUUGCUAUCAUGAGGAAAGUCCAUGCUAGCACUGGCUGUGAUGCCAGUAGUGUUUGUGCUAGGCGAACAAAUAAGCCUAGGGACUUGUCUUAAACGAGUUACGGCGGAUAAAAUGGCUAAGUCUUUGGAUAGGCCAGAGUCAUCCUGAAAGUGCCACAGUGACGUAGUUUCCAUGGAAACGUGGGAAAUGGAACGCGGUAAACCCCUCAAGCUAGCAACCCAAACUUUGGUCGGGGCACGAAAUAGCUGGAAGACGAACAGACUAUUUUGAUUGCAAGGCUUCCUUGCAAUAGACAGAUGAUUAUCAAGGGAGAUGAGGCCUAGUCAUCUCCUGAACAAAACAUGGCUUAUAGAA
Molecule: RNase P RNA, 378 nt
Filed under: Streptococcus cuniculipharyngis
Lineage: Bacteria; Bacillati; Bacillota; Bacilli; Lactobacillales; Streptococcaceae
Description: RNase P RNA component class B
Rfam family: Bacterial RNase P class B
About the family: Ribonuclease P (RNase P) is a ubiquitous endoribonuclease, found in archaea, bacteria and eukarya as well as chloroplasts and mitochondria. Its best characterised activity is the generation of mature 5'-ends of tRNAs by cleaving the 5'-leader elements of precursor-tRNAs.
Source: RNAcentral